Micropterus dolomieu (smallmouth bass) is the source of this 723-nucleotide long non-coding RNA. RefSeq lists it as uncharacterized. The transcript is spliced from 3 exons. Lineage: Eukaryota; Metazoa; Chordata; Actinopteri; Centrarchiformes; Centrarchidae. The record is from RefSeq and is a predicted model, not a curated record.
CAGGAAUUGGUUAAACAGGAAGCAGGAAGGUAUUAAUGGUCGCAUGGCCCUUUUUUCUUCCUCUUGCUCCUGUUGAUACCAAGUACCCACAUCACUGUGCGCUGCAAUGUCUGCAGCCGCUUCAAUGGCUCACUGUUAGUGUAGACCUUUCCCUCCCCAUAUGGACGAGCAGUUGCUUGCCAGUGUAGGUUUCCUGCAGGGUUGGACCUUCCUUUCAGAGUAUCGGGGGUGUCCAUUCGUCGUUAAUCAUGGGGCAUGGAGCCUCCCCAAAGUGGCAGUCCAGUCUCUUGCCUGCCCAGUGGAGGAAAAGCCCCCUUGCCUUUCUUUACAUGCUAGAAACCACUUUUUUAUGUACAUGAUAAAAGUUCAGUUUGAAAGGCUCUUGUAUGAAAGUGUGAUUGGGUGUGAGGAGCUAACUGUUAGCUCAGUUAACUGACUGUGGUUUGUCACUUAGUGUAAAUAUUGUUAAUAUUUUGUUUUGUUUAUAUUGUUUUCUUUCCUCUGUAAAGAAACUUUGUUUCUGUUGUAAAUAAUGGUUUGUUUGCUUUGGAGUUAAAUUAACAGUUUGGUUUUUGUUGAACUAAUUGAUUUUGCUUUUGUUUGACUUAACAGUUGUUUUCUUUCUGUUAACUUGUUUUGUGUCGCAGUUUUGUCUGUAUGUUUUAAAUGGUAUGCACGUUGUGAAAAGCCUUUUAAAAAGGAUAUGUUAAAAUAAAAGGAACU